This 497-nucleotide ribosomal RNA is filed under the name uncultured bacterium. RNAcentral's name for it is "partial 16S ribosomal RNA". It matches the Rfam family "Bacterial small subunit ribosomal RNA", at positions 28 to 507 of the family's 1533-position model. The record is from RNAcentral.
GAUGAACGCUGGCGGCGUGCCUAAUACAUGCCAGUCGAGCGAACGGACGAGAAGCUUGCUUCUCUGAUGUUAGCGGCGGACGGGUGAGUAACACGUGGAUAACCUACCUAUAAGACUGGGAUAACUUCGGGAAACCGGAGCUAAUACCGGAUAAUAUUUUGAACCGCAUGGUUCAAAAGUGAAAGACGGUCUUGCUGUCACUUAUAGAUGGAUCCGCGCUGCAUUAGCUAGUUGGUAAGGUAACGGCUUACCAAGGCUACGAUGCAUAGCCGACCUGAGAGGGUGAUCGGCCACACUGGAACUGAGACACGGUCCAGACUCCUACGGGAGGCAGCAGUAGGGAAUCUUCCGCAAUGGGCGAAAGCCUGACGGAGCAACGCCGCGUGAGUGAUGAAGGUCUUCGGAUCGUAAAACUCUGUUAUUAGGGAGGAACAUAUGUGUAAGUAACUGUGCACAUCUUGACGGUACCUAAUCAGAAAGCCACGGCUAACUACGUG